AUACCAUUAGCCAGGUCUGCCACCUGUUAACUGUUGUUGUCCUACUGGUAAAUUACGAAAAGGGCUAUUUGUAAUAGAACCAUGGUAAGGUGUUGCAUAGGUACAUUCUGAAAGCUGAUUAAGUCUUUCAUGUCUAUAUUCAGUGCAUCUCAAACAAAUGCAAACUGGUAAAAUGUGCACUAAAUAAUGAGCAUGACAGGUUUUAAGUUCAUGCAAUAACCUCAUAAAAUCUUCUGCACUUAUAUGUCCCUGUGAAUUAACUCCAUGUAAAUUAAGUAAAAAUAAAACUCAUUAAUGACAGAACGAUACAUUGGUUUGAUAUAAAGCGAAUGAAUUGCAACAGCAUUUUUUGCACUGAUUUUUCGUGGCAGAAGCAGUUUAACAAAGUCUGUUUCCAGUUGGAACUUUUCAAUCAGUGGAACAAGAAGAGCUGUUUUGCCCUCUCUACAUCUUUUUACUUCACUAUUGUCAUUUACUAAUCAUUUAAAUAAAAAGCCUAAUGUAAAAUUGCGAUUAUACUCCGAUAAAAUAAUUUCUAUUUCUAUUACAUCAUUUUCAUUUUGCAUUUGCAUAUAAUUAUUAACAACAUCUAAUAAAAACUCACUUCUUUUUAGUGCUAAAUGAACUUUGGUCUGGGGCGCAAUGGUAACCACACUGGGUUCAUCAUCAUGACCAAAGUUUAAAUGAAGAAUUAGCUUAUUCAUGAUAGAAUUGCAAUAUCCCUUUUCCUUUUUUUUUCCUAACUUUUUAAUUAUAGUUCCCUAUUAAGAAUUAUAUUCUUGCCCGCCCCAAAAAGGAAAAAGGAUAGAAUCAGAUAUGUUUUCAAGAUGCUUCUACACCAUAGCAAACCUUCAGACAAUCAUGUGGAUAUUGUUUUUAAAACACUCUUUGAAUGUCCAAACAUUUGGUCUUUAAUGUGACCCUUGAAGGUUAAUCAAGAAUCAACAAAAUAUAGUUUAAUAUAUCCAAUUAUCUUUAACAAUGACAAAAUAUAAACAGUUUAUAAAUUAUUCUUAUAAUUCAUCAUUGCAGUGGGUCAAACAGCAUAACACUUCUAUAGGCCACGGUGGACUGAAUAUAAUAUAUAUUAACUAGAGGCUCUCUAAAGAGCCUGUGUCGCUCACCUUGGCAUAUGUGAAUUAAACACAGGAAGCAGACAGUUCAUGACAAAAUUUGGUUAAGGUGAUUGGGAUGUGUUUGAACAUCUUACUUUACUGAACAUUUUUGCUGCUUACAAUUAUCUGUGUCUAUAAUGAACUUGUCCGUGUAGUUUCAGUGGAAAAUGUUAGUAAAAAUUUACAAAUUUUAUGAAAAUUUUUAAAAAUUGAUUAUAAAGGACAAUUACUUCUUAGGGGGUCAAUUGACCAUUUUGGUCAUUUUGACUUAUUUUUGAGUCUUAAAUUGCUGUACAUUAUUGCUGUUUACAGUUUAUCUCUAUCUAUAAUAAUAUUCAAGAUAAUAACCCAAAACAGCAAAAUUUCCUUAAAAUUACCAAUUUAGGGGCAGCAACCUAACAACGCGUUGUCCGAUUCAUCUAAAUAUUUCAGGGCAGAUAGAUCUUGACCAGAUAAACAAUGUUACUUCUUGUCAGAUUUGCUCUAAAUGCUUUGGUUUUUGAGUUAUAAGCCGAAAACUGCAUUUUACCCCUAUGUUCUAUUUUUAACCGUAGCGACCAUCUUGGUUGGUUAGCCCGGUCACAAAACACAAUUUUUAAACUUAAUAGCCUAAUAAUGAUUCUGGCAAUGUUUGGUAAAAUUUGGCUAAGUAGUUUCAGAGAAGAAGAUUUUUGAAAAAGUUAACUUAGAUUUACGAAAAAAUUGUUAAAAAUGGACUAUAAAGGGCAAUAACUCCUAAAGGGGUCAACUGACCAUUUUGGUUCUAGUGACUUAUUUGUAAAUCUUACUUUGCUGAACAUUUUUGCUGUGUACAGUUUAUAUCUAUCCAUAAUAAUAUUCAAGAUAAUAACCAAAAACAGUAAAAUUUCCUUAAAAUUACCAAUUUAGGGGCAGCAACCCAACAAUGGGUUGUCUGAUUCAUCUGAAAAUUUCAGGGCAGAUAGAUCUUGACCAGAUAAACAAUUUUACCCAUUGUCAGAUUUGCUCUAAAUGCUCUAAAUGCUUUGGUUUUUGAGUAAUAACCAAAAACUGCAUUUAACCUCCAUAUUCUAUUUUUAGCCGUGGCGGUCAUCUUGGUUGGUUGGCCGGGUCAAAAAACACAAUUUUCUAGAUACAUCAAUGAUGAUUGUGGCCAAGUAUGGAUUAAUUUGGCCCAGUAGUUUCAGAGAGGAAGAUUUUUGUAAAAGAUCAUGGAGAUUUACGAAAAAUGACUAAAAUUGACUAUAAAGGGCAAU
RNAcentral lists this long non-coding RNA (2350 nucleotides) under Mytilus galloprovincialis (Mediterranean mussel). The record is from RNAcentral. Lineage: Eukaryota; Metazoa; Mollusca; Bivalvia; Mytilida; Mytilidae.